Long non-coding RNA from Silurus meridionalis, 647 nucleotides. RefSeq lists it as uncharacterized. The record is from RefSeq and is a predicted model, not a curated record. The transcript has 2 exons. Lineage: Eukaryota; Metazoa; Chordata; Actinopteri; Siluriformes; Siluridae.
GGGCAACGCACUUCCUGUCAUUCCCGGAGCACUGAACCACAGCAUGAUGACAAAUAUGGCAAGACGUAGGUAUACAUCACGACUCUUCUGUUCUGGCUCCGAGGUGGUGGACCGGACCUCUGCUGGAUGUCCGAACAACUGAGUCAAUGCCCAUUUUCAUACGAUGUGUGAAGACCGACCUCUUCCUCAAACUUUUAAAGGAGCACUAGAACCUGUUUGUUUCAUGUCUUUAUGUUAAAAAAAAAAAUUUAUUAAAUAAUUCCUUCCAACAGAGUUUUAGGAUGAUGGUAUCUUAAGUUUGCAACCAAUUGAACCAGUGUUGAGACAUGUGCUCAUGUACGUCGUUCUGGAUAAAAGCAUCUGCUAAAUAGCAAAAAUGUAAAACGCUAUAGUUCCUGAAAUGAUGAAAGUAUCAGCAUCACAUAUUUUGAAGUAAAAUAUAGUUUGGCCUCGUUUUGAGAAGGUCGUUGGUUCAUAAUGCGAUGAAAUGUAUCUCUAGUGAAAGCUGGAGCUUUGGCUUGUUACAUCACCAACAAACAUGCAGCUCGACAACAAUGCACUCCACCUUGUUUGCUGGAGCAUGUGUGCUGGUAUUGGUCCUAGAACCCUCUCCAUCAUGGCGAGAUGCUCCCUGCUAUCAUGAGUCU